UGUGACUUUAAGGGAAAUGGCG
This 22-nucleotide microRNA is filed under the name Homo sapiens (human). Its description in RNAcentral is "hsa-miR-3164". Lineage: Eukaryota; Metazoa; Chordata; Mammalia; Primates; Hominidae. The record is from miRBase by way of RNAcentral.